Molecule: ribosomal RNA, 484 nt
Filed under: uncultured bacterium
Lineage: Bacteria
Description: partial 16S ribosomal RNA
Rfam family: Bacterial small subunit ribosomal RNA
Source: RNAcentral
AUUGAACGCUGGCGGCAGGCCUAACACAUGCAAGUCGAGCGGAGGAAGUGAGCUUGCUCCUGGAUUCAGCGGCGGACGGGUGAGUAAUGCCUAGGAAUCUGCCUGGUAGUGGGGGAUAACGUCCGGAAACGGGCGCUAAUACCGCAUACGUCCUGAGGGCGAAAGUGGGGGUUCUUCGGACUUCACGCUAUCAGAUGAGCCUAGGUCGGAUUAGCUAGUUGGUGGGGUAAAGGCCUACCAAGGCGACGAUCCGUAACUGGUCUGAGAGGAUGAUCAGUCACACUGGAACUGAGACACGGUCCAGACUCCUACGGGAGGCAGCAGUGGGGAAUAUUGGACAAUGGGCGAAAGCCUGAUCCAGCCAUGCCGCGUGUGUGAAGAAGGUCUUCGGAUUGUAAAGCACUUUAAGUUGGGAGGAAGGGCAGUAAGUUAAUACCUUGCUGUUUUGACGUUACCAGCAGAAUAAGCACCGGCUAACUUCGUG